This 69-nucleotide transfer RNA is filed under the name Ictidomys tridecemlineatus (thirteen-lined ground squirrel). RNAcentral's name for it is "Spermophilus tridecemlineatus (thirteen-lined ground squirrel) tRNA". It matches the Rfam family "tRNA". From Rfam's summary of the family: Transfer RNA (tRNA) molecules are approximately 80 nucleotides in length. Their secondary structure includes four short double-helical elements and three loops (D, anti-codon, and T loops). Further hydrogen bonds mediate the characteristic L-shaped molecular structure. tRNAs have two regions of fundamental functional importance: the anti-codon, which is responsible for specific mRNA codon recognition, and the 3' end, to which the tRNAs corresponding amino acid is attached (by aminoacyl-tRNA synthetases). tRNAs cope with the degeneracy of the genetic code in two manners: having more than one tRNA (with a specific anti-codon) for a particular amino acid; and 'wobble' base-pairing, i.e. permitting non-standard base-pairing at the 3rd anti-codon position. Lineage: Eukaryota; Metazoa; Chordata; Mammalia; Rodentia; Sciuridae. The record is from Rfam by way of RNAcentral.
GGGGCUGUAGCUCAGUGGUAGAGCUCUUGCCUGGCAUGUGUAAGGCACUGAGUUUGAUUCUCAGCACCA